GUUGUUUUCUCGAAAAUCAAUUUAAUGGGUUCUUGUUUUUAAGUUAUUGUGACUUUAUCAGCGCAUUUCUUAUUUUACUUGGCUCAUUGAAUGCACUUUUCGUUUAACAAGUCAACAUCAAUUUCUUUGGUGGUAAAAAGUUUAAAGGAAGGUGGCUUGGACUUCGGUUCAAGUGUUUAUAGCCUUUUUUCUAUGCCAUCGGAGAGAUUGAGGUCUGCAGCGUAGAUCCUUCGGGGUUAGAUACUUUAGUGCUAAGUUAUAGUUUUUUAUAGACAACUUGUUGACUAUAAUUAACCCUGUAAUUUACUCGCUAGAGCUAUUUUACCUAC
This 329-nucleotide ribosomal RNA is filed under the name uncultured Neocallimastigales. RNAcentral describes it as "partial large subunit ribosomal RNA". The record is from RNAcentral. Lineage: Eukaryota; Fungi; Neocallimastigomycota; Neocallimastigomycetes; Neocallimastigales.